This 2905-nucleotide ribosomal RNA is filed under the name Salmonella bongori. RNAcentral describes it as "23S ribosomal RNA". It matches the Rfam family "Bacterial large subunit ribosomal RNA". The record is from RNAcentral. Lineage: Bacteria; Pseudomonadati; Pseudomonadota; Gammaproteobacteria; Enterobacterales; Enterobacteriaceae.
UUAAGCGACCAAGCGUACACGGUGGAUGCCCUGGCAGUCAGAGGCGAUGAAGGACGUGCUAAUCUGCGAAAAGCGCCGGCGAGGUGAUAUGAACCCUUGACCCGGCGAUGUCCGAAUGGGGAAACCCAGUGUGACUCGUCACACUAUCAUUAACUGAAUCCAUAGGUUAAUGAGGCGAACCGGGGGAACUGAAACAUCUAAGUACCCCGAGGAAAAGAAAUCAACCGAGAUUCCCCCAGUAGCGGCGAGCGAACGGGGAGGAGCCCAGAGCCUGAAUCAGCAGGUGUGUUAGUGGAAGUGUCUGGAAAGGCACGCGAUACAGGGUGAGAGCCCCGUACACGAAAAUGCACCUGGUGUGAGCUCGAUGAGUAGGGCGGGACACGUGGUAUCCUGUCUGAAUAUGGGGGGACCAUCCUCCAAGGCUAAAUACUCCUGACUGACCGAUAGUGAACCAGUACCGUGAGGGAAAGGCGAAAAGAACCCCGGCGAGGGGAGUGAAAAAGAACCUGAAACCGUGUACGUACAAGCAGUGGGAGCACAGGUUUACCUGUGUGACUGCGUACCUUUUGUAUAAUGGGUCAGCGACUUAUAUUCUGUAGCAAGGUUAACCGAAUAGGGGAGCCGGAGGGAAACCGAGUCUUAAUUGGGCGUUAAGUUGCAGGGUAUAGACCCGAAACCCGGUGAUCUAGCCAUGGGCAGGUUGAAGGUUGGGUAACACUAACUGGAGGACCGAACCGACUAAUGUUGAAAAAUUAGCGGAUGACCUGUGGCUGGGGGUGAAAGGCCAAUCAAACCGGGAGAUAGCUGGUUCUCCCCGAAAGCUAUUUAGGUAGCGCCUCGUGAACUCAUCUCCGGGGGUAGAGCACUGUUUCGGCUAGGGGGCCAUCCCGGCUUACCAACCCGAUGCAAACUGCGAAUACCGGAGAAUGUUAUCACGGGAGACACACGGCGGGUGCUAACGUCCGUCGUGAAGAGGGAAACAACCCAGACCGCCAGCUAAGGUCCCAAAGUCAUGGUUAAGUGGGAAACGAUGUGGGAAGGCCCAGACAGCCAGGAUGUUGGCUUAGAAGCAGCCAUCAUUUAAAGAAAGCGUAAUAGCUCACUGGUCGAGUCGGCCUGCGCGGAAGAUGUAACGGGGCUAAACCAUGCACCGAAGCUGCGGCAGCGGCACGCAAGUGUUGUUGGGUAGGGGAGCGUUCUGUAAGCCGUUGAAGGUGGCCUGUGAGGGUUGCUGGAGGUAUCAGAAGUGCGAAUGCUGACAUAAGUAACGAUAAAGCGGGUGAAAAGCCCGCUCGCCGGAAGACCAAGGGUUCCUGUCCAACGUUAAUCGGGGCAGGGUGAGUCGACCCCUAAGGCGAGGCCGAAAGGCGUAGUCGAUGGGAAACGGGUUAAUAUUCCCGUACUUGGUGUUACUGCGAAGGGGGGACGGAGAAGGCUAUGUUGGCCGGGCGACGGUUGUCCCGGUUUAAGCGUGUAGGCUGGUUUUCCAGGCAAAUCCGGAAAAUCAAGGCUGAGGCGUGACGACGAGGCACCACGGUGCUGAAGCAACAAAUGCCCUGCUUCCAGGAAAAGCCUCUAAGCGUCAGGUAACAUCAAAUCGUACCCCAAACCGACACAGGUGGUCAGGUAGAGAAUACCAAGGCGCUUGAGAGAACUCGGGUGAAGGAACUAGGCAAAAUGGUGCCGUAACUUCGGGAGAAGGCACGCUGACAUGUAGGUGAAGCGGUUUACCCGUGGAGCUGAAGUCAGUCGAAGAUACCAGCUGGCUGCAACUGUUUAUUAAAAACACAGCACUGUGCAAACACGAAAGUGGACGUAUACGGUGUGACGCCUGCCCGGUGCCGGAAGGUUAAUUGAUGGGGUCAGCGCAAGCGAAGCUCCUGAUCGAAGCCCCGGUAAACGGCGGCCGUAACUAUAACGGUCCUAAGGUAGCGAAAUUCCUUGUCGGGUAAGUUCCGACCUGCACGAAUGGCGUAAUGAUGGCCAGGCUGUCUCCACCCGAGACUCAGUGAAAUUGAACUCGCUGUGAAGAUGCAGUGUACCCGCGGCAAGACGGAAAGACCCCGUGAACCUUUACUAUAGCUUGACACUGAACACUGGUCCUUGAUGUGCAGGAUAGGUGGGAGGCUUUGAAGCGUGGACGCCAGUCUGCGUGGAGCCGUCCUUGAAAUACCACCCUUUAAUGGCUGGUGUUCUAACGUGGGCCCCUGACCGGGGUUGCAGACAGUGUCUGGUGGGUAGUUUGACUGGGGCGGUCUCCUCCCAAAGAGUAACGGAGGAGCACGAAGGUUGGCUAAUCCUGGUCGGACAUCAGGAGGUUAGUGCAAUGGCAUAAGCCAGCUUGACUGCGAGCGUGACGGCGCGAGCAGGUGCGAAAGCAGGUCAUAGUGAUCCGGUGGUUCUGAAUGGAAGGGCCAUCGCUCAACGGAUAAAAGGUACUCCGGGGAUAACAGGCUGAUACCGCCCAAGAGUUCAUAUCGACGGCGGUGUUUGGCACCUCGAUGUCGGCUCAUCACAUCCUGGGGCUGAAGUAGGUCCCAAGGGUAUGGCUGUUCGCCAUUUAAAGUGGUACGCGAGCUGGGUUUAGAAACGUCGUGAGACAGUUCGGUCCCUAUCUGCCGUGGGCGCUGGAAGAUUGAGGGGGGCUGCUCCUAGUACGAGAGGACCGGAGUGGACGCAUCACUGGUGUUCGGGUUGUCAUGCCAAUGGCACUGCCCGGUAGCUAAAUGCGGAAGAGAUAAGUGCUGGAAAGCAUCUAAGCACGAAACUUGCCCCGAGAUGAAUCUUCCCUGAGACUUUAAGUCUCCUGAAGGAACGUUGAAGACGACGACGUUGAUAGGCCGGGUGUGUAAGCGCAGCGAUGCGUUGAGCUAACCGGUACUAAUGAACCGUGAGGCUUAACCUU